AAGUCGUAACAAGGUUUCCGUAGGUGAACCUGCGGAAGGAUCAUUAAUGAUUUGGCAAACCGAGCGUUAGCGAGGUUUUGCGAUCAACUUGUAUUUAAAACCCAACUCUUUAUAAUAAUUUAUACAUAAUUUUGAAUGACAAAAUUAAAGAUCACUUUCAACAACGGAUCUCUUGGCUCUC
Molecule: unclassified non-coding RNA, 181 nt
Filed under: Dominikia disticha
Lineage: Eukaryota; Fungi; Glomeromycota; Glomeromycetes; Glomerales; Glomeraceae
Description: partial internal transcribed spacer region
Rfam family: Eukaryotic small subunit ribosomal RNA (bases 1-46)
Source: RNAcentral